GUGCUUGCUUUGGCAGCACAUAUACUAAAAUUGGAGUGAUAUGGAGAUUAGCAUGGCCCCUUGGCAAGGAUGAUAUGCAAAUUCAUGAAGCGUUCCAUAUUAAA
RNAcentral lists this small nuclear RNA (104 nucleotides) under Prolemur simus (greater bamboo lemur). The record is from RNAcentral. Lineage: Eukaryota; Metazoa; Chordata; Mammalia; Primates; Lemuridae.